Nematostella vectensis (starlet sea anemone) is the source of this 1720-nucleotide long non-coding RNA. RefSeq lists it as uncharacterized. Lineage: Eukaryota; Metazoa; Cnidaria; Anthozoa; Actiniaria; Edwardsiidae. The transcript is spliced from 2 exons. The record is from RefSeq and is a predicted model, not a curated record.
ACCUCAAGAAGUCACGAAUAGGAGGAGCCGCUAUUGCAGCAGACUUGAAACUGAAGAGGAAACUCCAUUUGCGCUAAUACAAUCGAUAAUUCCCUUCUAGCAUAAAGUUCAUGUAGGGAAUACAAUACUUUGAGACUUGCAAGAUUUCGAAAAUGUGUGAAAAAAAAUAAGGUCAAAAAGUCACUUCAUUUAUAAGAGGCGAAAAACAAAAGUUGUUACUAUUUACUAGUAUCAUGAUUCAAACACACCGUCUUCCGCUUCAACAUGCUGCUUCUUCGUAGUCUCUCCACAUUCAUUAUCUUCUUAGGGGCAAACGAAAUCUGUAAGUGAGAUAUAAAAAAGCUGCUCUCUUGAUUUUUGUGUAUAUCUCGGUAAUUGAGAAGGAAUUUAAGAAAAAGCCGUACACUUCAUAAACUAUCCUUCUAACGAGGGAAUGCAUUUUUGUGAUGAUCCAAGCAACCAAGCCGAGGAAGCUGAGCUUCUCGGAGAAAGUAAAGAGGGAGAUGUUACUGUAACUCUUUGGUUUUGUGUUUCUAGACUACUACUAUGAUUUCUUUUUCUAUCGAGUUGGCGAAACAACAACACGUGAUACUAAAGAGAGUCUCUUAUCUUAUGCUCUCUUUGCGUUCUUUUUUUUUUUUUUUUAAGGUGGGGGGGGGGGAUGUGAUUGCUAUCAGCUAGCAAUUCAAGAAAAAAAAGCUCUUUUCGGCCGCUUACAGGUAUAGUUUUUUUUUUUUUAUAAUAUGAGAUGGGACGAGGAGCGUUCAAGGACCGUCAAAUGGCAUUAUUCUCCAAAUUAUUCAGUUUUUUUUCAUGGGCUCAUAAAUGGGCGCAAUAAACUUCCCCACAUUCUUGUAUGUGGUGUCACGGCGUUAUGAGCCCCUGUUUUUUUUUUUUUUUACCCCUGGCUACAUGCCUACCAGGGCAAUGAUAUCCAGAGCAGUCUCCCGGGGCUUGUUAUAGAAAUAGCUAUGUAGCCUUCGUCUUUAAGACAGAAAAUUCAAAUUCAGGUUUGCUUAUGAGUGGGUUGCCUGUGUAUUUUCACUUGAGCGCGGAUUUUUACGUAUUUUCGCGCGAACUAAUUCCAGCCAAUCACAGCUCAAUAUCAGCUGUGACGUAACAAUUGCUGCUUGACACCGGCUGACACUUCUUAGUGCGACUUCCGCGCUGUCAUGCUGUUUACAAGAAUUCCCGGUUAAUUUUAUUGGAAAACAUACGAAAGUGCCAUUCAAAUAUGAAGAGAUUUGACAGGAAGAUGGUAUAUACAGAGAGGAAAUGUCUUGUAAAGAUUGAACACGUUUGGAAGGUUUUCAAGCAACGAAUUUUAAUCGAACUUGUUGGAGUACAGAUAUGAAACUGGAUAACACAUUAUCACAGGAAUUUGAGCGAGAAGUCGUCUGAGGUAAAUGGAAAAGUUGGUCGCGGAUGCCGUUUGUCGGCAAACACUUGUAAACAACAGUUUCAAGGGGUUUAAUUUCCAUCACAACAUACCACGUAUAGAUCAUCAUUUGAGCAUGCGCUAUUGACAGUCUCAGAGAUGACUUGCUUGUACGCGUGGCUUAUAACAAAGAUCAAAAUUGCUAGUAUUCCUUUGUAUUCUAAAAGAACUGAAAUACAAUUAAAAGCCGCGUGUAAGAAUGGUAGAACUUUUGCACUCUAUAAAAUAAUAUAAGAACCUGCUAAAGUUCUUAUAGGAAGAAGGGUCACUCAUGAACUAAAA